Molecule: long non-coding RNA, 275 nt
Filed under: Malus domestica (apple)
Lineage: Eukaryota; Viridiplantae; Streptophyta; Magnoliopsida; Rosales; Rosaceae
Description: long non-coding RNA (MDOM_LNC002672)
Source: RNAcentral
UGAAGCUUGCAGCUCCCAUUACAUCGCUAUGACCAAGAAGGGUAAAAGAAUAACAAAGAAACAGCACUAACAAAGUUUAGACACAUAAAUUUUGAAGGUCUAGCUACCUUAUUAUUACCCACAAGGGUAAAGGAACAGGACCACUACUGGAUAAUUGGAAAGUCCCUGUGUGUCAACCUCUGUGCUCCGUGGCAAGGUAGACUAGCAAACAGGCCCAACCUUUACUCACAUUCGAGAAAACACUCCUAACAAGAUUGCUUGCUUCAAGAUCAAAG